GGAUAAUUUCAGAGCAUGGUAAGUGAUCUACAGAGAGGUGGGAAGUGACUGGAAAUGGAGCUGGUUUAGACAGGCUGGCACGUUCCGGAGGACACAGCAUCUGAAUGGAGAAAGGAAAACAAAGACGCAAGCUUGGAGUUGGUGUCUCUUCCGGGAGAAUAUUUCCGGGCACCAUCAUUCCUCCUGCCCUUCUGAAGUUCCCUCUAGGUGGUGGCCACUGACCAGCCAGGUGUUACCAUCCCUGCACACUUGAACCGCUGCAAAGCAAAAGAUUCUCAGCAGACAGAGGUGAGUUGAAAGGGAUCUUUGAUUCCCCUCCUGACUUGGUGUUACAUUCUGUUAGAGAG
Molecule: long non-coding RNA, 347 nt
Filed under: Mustela putorius furo (domestic ferret)
Lineage: Eukaryota; Metazoa; Chordata; Mammalia; Carnivora; Mustelidae
Description: lncRNA (ENSMPUG00000027201.1)
Source: RNAcentral